RNAcentral lists this ribosomal RNA (619 nucleotides) under Brevibacterium sp. I12A-00341. Its description in RNAcentral is "bacterial SSU rRNA". It matches the Rfam family "Bacterial small subunit ribosomal RNA", at positions 93 to 698 of the family's 1533-position model. Lineage: Bacteria; Bacillati; Actinomycetota; Actinomycetes; Micrococcales; Brevibacteriaceae. The record is from RNAcentral.
UAGCGGCGGACGGGUGAGUAACACGUGGGCAACCUGCCUAUAAGACUGGGAUAACUUCGGGAAACCGGAGCUAAUACCGGAUACGUUCUUUUCUCGCAUGAGAGAAGAUGGAAAGACGGUUUACGCUGUCACUUAUAGAUGGGCCCGCGGCGCAUUAGCUAGUUGGUGAGGUAAUGGCUCACCAAGGCGACGAUGCGUAGCCGACCUGAGAGGGUGAUCGGCCACACUGGGACUGAGACACGGCCCAGACUCCUACGGGAGGCAGCAGUAGGGAAUCUUCCGCAAUGGACGAAAGUCUGACGGAGCAACGCCGCGUGAACGAAGAAGGCCUUCGGGUCGUAAAGUUCUGUUGUUAGGGAAGAACAAGUACCAGAGUAACUGCUGGUACCUUGACGGUACCUAACCAGAAAGCCACGGCUAACUACGUGCCAGCAGCCGCGGUAAUACGUAGGUGGCAAGCGUUGUCCGGAAUUAUUGGGCGUAAAGCGCGCGCAGGUGGUUCCUUAAGUCUGAUGUGAAAGCCCACGGCUCAACCGUGGAGGGUCAUUGGAAACUGGGGAACUUGAGUGCAGAAGAGGAAAGUGGAAUUCCAAGUGUAGCGGUGAAAUGCGUAGAGAUU